This 715-nucleotide long non-coding RNA is filed under the name Homo sapiens (human). RNAcentral describes it as "non-protein coding lnc-SLC30A7-2:29". Lineage: Eukaryota; Metazoa; Chordata; Mammalia; Primates; Hominidae. The record is from RNAcentral.
ACUGAAGAAACCCGCCGGCUGCUGGGGCAGGGCGGCGAAAGGUCAGUCGGCCGAGAGGAGUCCGUGGAGCCACCGUUUCAUAGCCUCAGGGAAAGGAUCGGGCGUGCUCACGAGCCCUCUAACCCAUGGCUUAAACACCCGCUUCCUAAGCCUGGAUGGAAUGAUAGGGUAUGCAUAAAUGUUCAUGUGGGCUCUGGAGUAUACCAGGAACUGAAGUAAGGUACAUGGACGUCUUGAAUAUUGUAACUGAGAUGGGCAAGCCUACACCUUUGCAAAUAAAGGAGGAUUGGGAAAGAUUAAGGUACUUCCUAAGCGUGGCUACUCCAAUGAAGCUUUAGUAUAUGUACUGAAAGAAGAUCCUCUCAUACUGCCACAGCCAAGAGAUAAGGUUGUAAAUCUUUAUUGGGAGAAGCCGUCAAGGACAGUUCUGUGAAAUGAAAGGAUCUCUGGAUCACCACAAAGUCUGGCUCAGUGACUAUGGCUUUGCAAACACUAAACAUUCCUGUCUCAAGUCCUGUAGAUGGCUUGAAAUAGUAUACAUAAGCAUGCCUUAUAAACAUCUUCAGUCUUUAUCAACUCUUUGGAGAUUCAGCCAUUCUUUUUUGUACUUUAGGGAAUUAAAUCAUUUUAUAAUGUAUAAAUCUGAGCAUGGCCGAUGGCAGAAGAAAUUUUGUCAUACGUUUUUAAAGAAAUAAAAAUGUAUUAUGUUUUAAAA